Molecule: transfer RNA, 73 nt
Filed under: Bacteroidota bacterium
Lineage: Bacteria; Pseudomonadati; Bacteroidota
Description: Bacteroidetes bacterium (grounwater metagenome) tRNA-Gln
Rfam family: tRNA
About the family: Transfer RNA (tRNA) molecules are approximately 80 nucleotides in length. Their secondary structure includes four short double-helical elements and three loops (D, anti-codon, and T loops).
Source: RNAcentral
UGUCCUGUGGUGUAAUUGGCAACACGUCUGAUUCUGGAUCAGAAGAGUUUAGGUUCGAAACCUAACAGGACAA